GACGAACGCUGGCGGCGUGCUUAACACAUGCAAGUCGAACGGAAAGGCCCUGCUUUUGUGGGGUGCUCGAGUGGCGAACGGGUGAGUAACACGUGAGUAACCUGCCCUUGACUUUGGGAUAACUUCAGGAAACUGGGGCUAAUACCAGAUAGGAGCUCCUGCUGCAUGGUGGGGGUUGGAAAGUUUCGGCGGUUGGGGAUGGACUCGCGGCUUAUCAGCUUGUUGGUGGGGUAGUGGCUUACCAAGGCUUUGACGGGUAGCCGGCCUGAGAGGGUGACCGGCCACAUUGGGACUGAGAUACGGCCCAGACUCCUACGGGAGGCAGCAGUGGGGAAUAUUGCACAAUGGGCGGAAGCCUGAUGCAGCAACGCCGCGUGCGGGAUGACGGCCUUCGGGUUGUAAACCGCUUUCGCCUGUGACGAAGCGUGAGUGACGGUAAUGGGUAAAGAAGCACCGGCUAGCUACGUG
This 468-nucleotide ribosomal RNA is filed under the name uncultured bacterium. Its description in RNAcentral is "partial 16S ribosomal RNA". It matches the Rfam family "Bacterial small subunit ribosomal RNA", at positions 28 to 507 of the family's 1533-position model. The record is from RNAcentral.